GACGUAUUCUGAAAGGGAUACUUCUUCGGACAAUAUACAAGGUGCUGCAUGGUUGUCGUCAGCUCGUGCCGUGAGGUGUCGGGUUAAGUCCCAUAACGAGCGCAACCCCUAUCAUUAGUUGCCAUCAGGUCAAGCUGGGGACUCUAAUGAAACUGCCUACGCAAGUAGUGAGGAAGGUGGGGAUGACGUCAAAUCAGCACGGCCCUUACGUCCAGGGCUACACACGUGCUACAAUGGCCGAUACAGAGGGCAGCUACCUGGUGACAGGAUGCAAAUCUCCAAAGUCGGUCUCAGUUCGGAUCGGAGUCUGCAACCCGACUCCGUGAAGUUGGAUUCGCUAGUAAUCGCGCAUCAGCCAUGGCGCGGUGAAUACGUUCCCGGGCCUU
RNAcentral lists this ribosomal RNA (386 nucleotides) under uncultured Sphingobacteriales bacterium. RNAcentral describes it as "bacterial SSU rRNA". It matches the Rfam family "Bacterial small subunit ribosomal RNA", at positions 993 to 1382 of the family's 1533-position model. The record is from RNAcentral. Lineage: Bacteria; Pseudomonadati; Bacteroidota; Sphingobacteriia; Sphingobacteriales.